Molecule: long non-coding RNA, 534 nt
Organism: Paramormyrops kingsleyae
Lineage: Eukaryota; Metazoa; Chordata; Actinopteri; Osteoglossiformes; Mormyridae
Source: RefSeq, a predicted model, not a curated record
UUUUCUUCUUAAGUCUGACAGACGAUUUCUCCAGGAGAGUGCCUUCAAAAUGGGAGAAAAAUUGAAAAAAGAUAUACAUAAAAGGACCACAAAGAAGACUCCUAUAAUCCUUGAUAUGGAAGAUUCUGAGGAAGAUUCUGAAUAAAGUGUAACAAAUACUCAGGUUGUUGAUAGGGGCUUUUCUGAGCCACUUUUUUAUGAAGACACAGACAGGGGAAAGACAACAUUGAUGGAGAGUGAUUCAGAUACUGAUAUAGAAAAUGUAAGGGCAAGAAAAAUAUCAAAACCUUGCAUAGUAGAGCUUGAUGAGGAGACUGUUCAAGCGCUUAAAGAACUGCCAUCCUUCAUGAAAUCUAUGAAGCAAUAUCUACAGAAAUUGGAAACAUCUUUGCCAGGCUGUUGGUCAGAACAAACACCAGAUGAGAGCAUGGCUAGUUCUCCAACAGUAGACAUGGUAAUACUUAACAUUGUUUAGGCUACAUUUUCAAAACUUUAAUUACACAACUGACCUUGAAAUUUCUUUGUUGUAGGAAG